CAGUCGCCGCGGUAAUACGUAGGUGGCAAGCGUUGUCCGGAAUUAUUGGGCGUAAAGGGCUCGCAGGCGGUUUCUUAAGUCUGAUGUGAAAGCCCCCGGCUCAACCGGGGAGGGUCAUUGGAAACUGGGAAACUUGAGUGCAGAAGAGGAGAGUGGAACUCCACGUGUAGCGGUGAAAUGCGUAGAGAUGUGGAGGAACACCAGUGGCGAAGGCGACUCUCUGGUCUGUAACAGACGCUGAGGAGCGAAAGCGUGGGGAGCGAACAGGAUUAGAUACCCCCGUAGUCCCUGUCUCUUAUAC
RNAcentral lists this ribosomal RNA (301 nucleotides) under uncultured bacterium. Its description in RNAcentral is "partial 16S ribosomal RNA". It matches the Rfam family "Bacterial small subunit ribosomal RNA", at positions 509 to 807 of the family's 1533-position model. The record is from RNAcentral.